This 868-nucleotide ribosomal RNA is filed under the name Neolinocarpon phayaoense. RNAcentral's name for it is "SSU rRNA". It matches the Rfam family "Eukaryotic small subunit ribosomal RNA", at positions 239 to 1113 of the family's 1831-position model. Lineage: Eukaryota; Fungi; Ascomycota; Sordariomycetes; Chaetosphaeriales; Linocarpaceae. The record is from RNAcentral.
CUCGCUGGUGAUUCAUGAUAACCUCUCGAAUCGCACGGCCUUGCGCCGGCGAUGGUUCAUUCAAAUUUCUGCCCUAUCAACUUUCGACGGCUGGGUCUUGGCCAGCCAUGGUGACAACGGGUAACGGAGGGUUAGGGCUCGACCCCGGAGAAGGAGCCGGAGGAACGGCUACUACAUCCAAGGAAGGCAGCAGGCGCGCAAAUUGCCCAAUCCCGACGCGGGGAGGCAGUGACGAUACAUACUGAUGCAGGGCUCUUUUGGGUCUUGCAAUUGGAAUGAGUACAAUUUAAAUCCCUUAACGAGGAACAAUUGGAGGGCAAGUCUGGUGCCAGCAGCCGCGGUAAUUCCAGCUCCAAUAGCGUAUAUUAAAGUUGUUGAGGUUAAAAAGCUCGUAGUUGAACCUUGGGCCCGGGCCGCCGGUCCGCCUCACCGCGAGCACUGGCGCGUCCGGGCCUUUCCCUCUGGGGAGCCGCAUGCCCUUCGCUGGGCGUGCCGGGGAACCAGGACGUUUACUCUGAACAAAUCAGAUCGCUCAAAGAAGGCCUACGCUCGGAUGCAUUAGCAUGGAAUAAUGGAAUAGGACGCGUGGUUCUAUUUUGUUGGUUUCUAGGACCGCCGUAAUGAUUAAUAGGGACAGUCGGGGGCAUCAGUAUUCCGUUGUCAGAGGUGAAAUUCUUGGAUUUACGGAAGACUAACUACUGCGAAAGCAUUUGCCAAGGAUGUUUUCAUUAAUCAGGAACGAAAGUUAGGGGAUCGAAGACGAUCAGAUACCGUCGUAGUCUUAACCAUAAACUAUGCCGAUUAGGGAUCGGACGGUGUUAUUUUGUGACCCGUUCGGCACCUUACGACAAAUCAAAAUGUUUGGGCU